UAAUACGUAGGGCGCAAGCGUUGUCCGGAAUUAUUGGGCGUAAAGAGCUCGUAGGCGGCUUGUCACGUCGGGUGUGAAAGCCCGGGGCUUAACCCCGGGUCUGCAUUCGAUACGGGCUAGUUAGAGUGUGGUAGGGGAGAUCGGAAUUCCUGGUGUAGCGGUGAAAUGCGCAGAUAUCAGGAGGAACACCGGUGGCGAAGGCGGAUCUCUGGGCCAUUACUGACGCUGAGGAGCGAAAGCGUGGGGAGCGAACAGGAUUAGAUACCCUGGUAGUCCACGCCGUAAACGGUGGGAACUAGGUGUUGGCGACAUUCCACGUCGUCGGUGCCGCAGCUAACGCAUUAAGUUCCCCGCCUGGGGAGUACGGCCGCAAGGC
RNAcentral lists this ribosomal RNA (376 nucleotides) under uncultured bacterium. Its description in RNAcentral is "bacterial SSU rRNA". It matches the Rfam family "Bacterial small subunit ribosomal RNA", at positions 521 to 894 of the family's 1533-position model. The record is from RNAcentral.